CCUAUGGAGAGUACACAACAAUGUGAGUAGUAUUUAGAACCAUCUAAUAUGAAAGCAUACUCGAAGAAGUAGGAA
The submitters of this non-coding RNA (75 nucleotides) gave its source as unclassified sequences. The record is from Rfam.